UACGUAGGGGGCAAGCGUUGUCCGGAAUUAUUGGGCGUAAAGGGCGUGUAGGCGGCUAGGAAAGUCAGAUGUGAAAGGCCAGGGCUCAACCUUGGUAGUGCAUUUGAAACUUCUUAGCUUGAGUGCAGGAGAGGAAAGUGGAAUUCCUAGUGUAGCGGUGAAAUGCGUAGAUAUUAGGAGGAACACCAGUGGCGAAGGCGACGUUCUGGACUGUAACUGACGCUGAGGCGCGAAAGCGUGGGGAGCAAACAGGAUUAGAUACCCUGGUAGUCCACGCCGUAAACGAUGGGUACUAGGUGUUGGGGGUAUCGACCCCUCCAGUGCCGUAGUUAACACAAUAAGUACCCCGCCUGGGGAGUACGGCCGCAAGGUUGAA
This 376-nucleotide ribosomal RNA is filed under the name uncultured bacterium. Its description in RNAcentral is "bacterial SSU rRNA". It matches the Rfam family "Bacterial small subunit ribosomal RNA", at positions 524 to 898 of the family's 1533-position model. The record is from RNAcentral.